RNAcentral lists this ribosomal RNA (253 nucleotides) under uncultured bacterium. RNAcentral describes it as "partial 16S ribosomal RNA". It matches the Rfam family "Bacterial small subunit ribosomal RNA", at positions 524 to 776 of the family's 1533-position model. The record is from RNAcentral.
UACGGAGGGUGCAAGCGUUAAUCGGAAUUACUGGGCGUAAAGCGCGCGUAGGCGGCUUGAUAAGCUGGAUGUGAAAGCCCUGGGCUUAACCUGGGAACUGCAUUCGGAACUGUCUGGCUAGAGUAUGGUAGAGGGUAGUGGAAUUUCCUGUGUAGCGGUGAAAUGCGUAGAUAUAGGAAGGAACACCAGUGGCGAAGGCGGCUACCUGGACCAAUACUGACGCUGAGGUGCGAAAGCGUGGGGAGCAAACAGG